UACGUAGGGGGCAAGCGUUGUCCGGAAUCAUUGGGCGUAAAGCGCGUGUAGGCGGCUGAGUAAGUCUGCUCUGAAAGCCCGGGGCUCAACCCCGGGAGGCGGGUGGAUACUGCUCAGCUCGAGUCCGGAAGAGGAGUGUGGAAUUCCUGGUGUAGCGGUGAAAUGCGUAGAUAUCAAGAGGAACACCAGUGGCGAAGGCGAGUCCCUGGACAACUUCUGACGCUGAGGCACGAAAGCUAGGGGAGCAAACAGG
RNAcentral lists this ribosomal RNA (253 nucleotides) under uncultured bacterium. Its description in RNAcentral is "partial 16S ribosomal RNA". It matches the Rfam family "Bacterial small subunit ribosomal RNA", at positions 524 to 776 of the family's 1533-position model. The record is from RNAcentral.